UGGGGAAUAUUGCACAAUGGGGGAAACCCUGAUGCAGCGACGCCGCGUGAACGAAGAAGGUAUUCGUAUCGUAAAGUUCUGUCCUAUGGGAAGAUAAUGACAGUACCAUAGAAGAAAGCUCCGGCUAAAUACGUGCCAGCAGCCGCGGUAAUACGUAUGGAGCGCGCGUUUGUCGGAAUUAUUGGGCGUAAAGGGUACGCAAGCGGUUUAAUAAGUCGAAUGUUAAAGAUCGGGGCUCAACCCCGUAAAGCAUUGGAAACUGAUAAACUUGAGUAGUGGAGAGGAAAGUGGAAUUCCUAGUGUAGUGGUGAAAUACGUAGAUAUUAGGAGGAAUACCAGUAGCGAAGGCGACUUUCUGGACACAAACUGACGCUGAGGUACGAAAGCGUGAGGAGCAAACAGG
RNAcentral lists this ribosomal RNA (403 nucleotides) under bacterium. Its description in RNAcentral is "partial 16S ribosomal RNA". It matches the Rfam family "Bacterial small subunit ribosomal RNA", at positions 355 to 776 of the family's 1533-position model. The record is from RNAcentral.